RNAcentral lists this ribosomal RNA (690 nucleotides) under uncultured bacterium. RNAcentral describes it as "bacterial SSU rRNA". It matches the Rfam family "Bacterial small subunit ribosomal RNA", at positions 53 to 752 of the family's 1533-position model. The record is from RNAcentral.
ACAUGCAAGUCGAACGCUGAAGCACCAGCUUGCUGGUGUGGAUGAGUGGCGAACGGGUGAGUAAUACGUGAGUAACCUGCCCUUGACUCUGGGAUAAGCCCGGGAAACUGGGUCUAAUACUGGAUGCUACAUGUCACCGCAUGGUGGUGUGUGGAAAGGGUUUACUGGUCUUGGAUGGGCUCACGGCCUAUCAGCUUGUUGGUGAGGUAAUGGCUCACCAAGGCGACGACGGGUAGCCGGCCUGAGAGGGUGACCGGCCACACUGGGACUGAGACACGGCCCAGACUCCUACGGGAGGCGGCAGUGGGGAAUAUUGCACAAUGGGCGAAAGCCUGAUGCAGCGACGCCGCGUGAGGGAUGACGGCCUUCGGGUUGUAAACCUCUUUCAGCAGGGAAGAAGCCACAAGUGACGGUACCUGCAGAAGAAGCGCCGGCUAACUACGUGCCAGCAGCCGCGGUAAUACGUAGGGCGCAAGCGUUGUCCGGAAUUAUUGGGCGUAAAGAGCUCGUAGGCGGUUUGUCGCGUCUGCUGUGAAAGCCCGGGGCUUAACCCCGGGUGUGCAGUGGGUACGGGCAGACUAGAGUGCAGUAGGGGAGACUGGAAUUCCUGGUGUAGCGGUGGAAUGCGCAGAUAUCAGGAGGAACACCGAUGGCGAAGGCAGGUCUCUGGGCUGUUACUGACGCUGAGGA